UCAGAUUUUCUUGUACACAAUUAAAACAAAACACACAUUAUGAAACACAUUAGGAUUAUGUAAAGGUGAAAACAUUUAAAGAAGCAACUUUAUGGAAUCAUAGAACAACCUAAUAAUGUAACGUUUCUGGCACUGGAGCUGCUAAUUGCAAUCAGCGCACCUGCGCUGCCUUCACCUCUACCGGCUUAUAAGCCCUGCGCCUCGCAGCCUCCAGUGCCAGAACGUCUCGAGCCUCACGGUGAGAACUUCCAGCGAUUUUUCUGAGAGUCUGUCUGCCUGUCUGCCUGUCGACCCGUUUUGCCCCUGUUUUUUGAGCCAGCCUGAACCCCAUUGGAUUUGUCUGCCCGCCUGAGUUCUGUUCUUCAGCCUCAGUGAUUUGGACUGCCUCCCUGUGUUUCGGACCCUGCCAGCCUGUAAGUUUCUGAGAUUGCCUACUCUUUGAUUAUUGUGAUUCUGGAUUUGGAUUUGGACCUGGACCUGGACCCGUCUCUGGAUUCUCCCUCGGAAACCUCUGCUGGAUUAAACGGAUAUCCCUCCCGUCAAAGAACCGGACCGGACCUGGACAAAGAACUGGAUAGCCCCUUCACGGACCCUGCUGCUUCCUGGAAACCAGACGCUGCUAAAACAAGCCGUCCUCGUGCCCCAGGAACCGCCAGAGGCUGUGUGCUGCCGCACAAACCAGGGGGGUCCGCGCCGCCACCAUCUUUAAUAAACUGUUAAAGUUUUA
Long non-coding RNA from Fundulus heteroclitus (mummichog), 727 nucleotides. RefSeq lists it as uncharacterized. Lineage: Eukaryota; Metazoa; Chordata; Actinopteri; Cyprinodontiformes; Fundulidae. The record is from RefSeq and is a predicted model, not a curated record. The transcript is spliced from 2 exons.